This 463-nucleotide unclassified non-coding RNA is filed under the name Hevea brasiliensis (rubber tree). Lineage: Eukaryota; Viridiplantae; Streptophyta; Magnoliopsida; Malpighiales; Euphorbiaceae. The record is from RNAcentral.
GCCAAUUUUUGUACACUCAUGAGGCUUUUAGUCAACCAUAUUGCUGUUUCUCUGGAUGAAACUGCAUCAUCACCAAAUGGUUUCAGCACACCAGCAAGCUCAUCAAUUUUUUCCUGCUUGAGUAGUCGUGCACAAACCUCUAAAAGGGAUUCCAGAGCUUCAGCUCUUUCUUGAGUCGGAUUUUCCCAGUCGUUCUUGUGCCCGUCACCAGCUAAGGCAGCUAGUGCCUUAAGCAGUGAAACCCUAUCAUCUAGUGCUUGACGUUUAGCAUCUUCAACCAUAUUUGCAUUCUUUUCUAUCUCAUCUUUAAGUGAGCUUGACCUAUUUCUUUCAGAAGCUAUGUGGUCAACAGAAACUCCUUUAAACUCACCAACAUUUUCACUUACAGAUGCAUGACACCUAAGUUCAGCGUCAAUAUCAGAUUUUGCAGGUCGUGUAGUUGAUGAAGUGCUUUCUUCAUCAU